RNAcentral lists this long non-coding RNA (1702 nucleotides) under Pan troglodytes (chimpanzee). Its description in RNAcentral is "long non-coding RNA NONPTRT011916". Lineage: Eukaryota; Metazoa; Chordata; Mammalia; Primates; Hominidae. The record is from RNAcentral.
GUACAGUGGAUAGAUUUGACUCCAAGUAUCUCUUAAGGGGCCACUUCCAGCCAACACCUUACUCUCACUCCAUGAAGGUUUCUCCCGAGUGUGUCCUCUGACACGUGACAAGUAAUGAUGUCCACGUACAGCUCUGUCCACAUUACCUUACAAACAAGGCUUCUCCCUAAGCAUUUCCGCUGGUGUGGCUGAUGGCUGACUUGUUGCUAAAAUCACAUCCUCACUCCUUGCACCUCUAAAGCUUUUCCCCGAGUGUAUCUUCUGGUGUAUGAUGAGCUGUGACUUUCUCCUAAAGCUUCGCCCACACUCCACGCAUGCAUAAGGCUUCUCCCCCGAGUGUAUCCUCUGAUGUAAGCUGAGAGUGGACUUGUGGCUAAAGUUUCGCCCACACUCGAUGCACGCGUAAGGUUUCUCUCCUGUGUGUGUCCUCCAGUGUCUGUUGAGGAGUAUCUUCCGGCCAAAUCCCCGCCCACAUUCCCCACACACAUAAGGCUUCUCUCCCGUGUGUGUCCUCCAGUGUCCAUUGAGGACUAUCCUCCGGCUAAAUCCCCGCCCACAUUCCCCACACACAUAAGGCUUCUCCCCUGAGUGUGUUCUCCGAUGUGAUUUGAGCGACGACUUCUGGCUAAAUCCAUGCCCACACUCCUCACACACAUGAGGUUUCACCUCUGAAUGUGUCCACUGGUGUAGGAGGAGAGUUGAUUUAGCACGAAAGCCUCGCCCACACUCUCUGCAAACAAAAGGCUUCUCAUCUGAAUGUAUCCUCUGGUGUGCGUUGAGACAUGAUCUCCUUACAAAGCCUCGGCCACAAUCCCUGCACACAUAAGGCUUAUCCCCCGUGUGAAUUCUCUGGUGCUUAAUGAGCUCUGACUUUUCACGAAAGCCUCGCCCACACACUGUGCACAUAAAUGACUUCUCCCUUGUGUGUGUCCUCUGAUGUCUGAUGAGGUAUGGCUUGCAGCUAAAGCCUCGCCCACAAUGGCUGCACACAUAAGGUUUCUCCCCCGAGUGUGUACUCAGGUGGUUGCGGAGGACUGACUCAACUAUAAAGCCUCGCCCACACUCUCCGCAGACAUAAGGCUUUUCUCCUGUGUGUGUCCUCUGGUGUAUGAUGAGCUGUGACUUCCUGCUAAAGCCUCGCCCACACUCCCUGCACACCUGUGACUGCCUUUUGUCUGAAGAUUUUUCUGCUGUGACUGCCUUCUGUCUGAACAGGUUUGACUUCUGGUUAAAAGCUAGUGCACACUCCCCAAACCUGACUGCUCCAAACCCUGGGGUUUCUGCCCUCUUGGAAAUUCUGUCUACUUCCUCAGAGCUUGCAUUCUGGGCUGGACUGAGCUGUAUCUCUAAUAUUCUGUUGCCUCCCCAAGAGCUUAUUGGUGGUCUCUGGAACAGGCUAGAGAAACCCACUAAAGCCCCCCUCUCAUUUGUACUCCAAAACAAGGGUCUGACGCCUCCUUCCACUCGUUGAUCUUCUGCUUCAGCCCCCCUGUGAUUUUUAUCAGAAGGACGUUGUGACUGUGGCUGAUCCUCUGGGCAGGGAUUUCCUGGGUGGAGUUGAUUUCCUGCAUGGAAACCUGGAAUAGGAUGAUUGUGUAGCUCAUCUUGGCUGAGGAAUUGCGGACUGCCAAAGGCCAGAGGGCAACAAGGGCAGGUAUGGACUUCUGGCUUUGAUUCUGCUGAAGAAAGAAAGUUUCCAGUC